AGCAGUCGCCACGGUAAGACAGAGGAUGCAAGCGUUAUCCGGAAUGAUUGGGCGUAAAGCGUGCGUAGGCGGCUUUUUAAGUCGGAUGUGAAAUCCCUGAGCUUAACUUAGGAAUUGCAUUCGAUACUGGGAAGCUAGAGUAUGGGAGAGGAUGGUAGAAUUCCAGGUGUAGCGGUGAAAUGCGUAGAGAUCUGGAGGAAUACCGAUGGCGAAGGCAGCCAUCUGGCCUAAUACUGACGCUGAGGUACGAAAGCAUGGGGAGCAAACAGGAUUAGAUACCCGGGUAGUCCCUGUCUCUUAUAC
This 303-nucleotide ribosomal RNA is filed under the name uncultured bacterium. RNAcentral describes it as "partial 16S ribosomal RNA". It matches the Rfam family "Bacterial small subunit ribosomal RNA", at positions 507 to 807 of the family's 1533-position model. The record is from RNAcentral.